UAUUCUAAGCAUGGUUUAGGAAUUACCCAAUCGAGAAGAUAAACAAAAUCUUCCUUUGGCCUGUAGCUUGUGUUACUUUUUCCACUAACAAUUUCCAAAGCAACAACCCCAAAACUGUAAACAUCAGCUUUGUCUGUCAAAUAACCACGCAUUGCAUACUCAGGAGCCAUGUAUCCGCUGCAGGAAGAAUAACAACAAAAUGAUUGAGUCAAAUAUCUGCUCUGUAGUUGAAUGGAAUUAUUUGGAAGGGGCAUGGAGAGAAGAAAAAACUUACAUAGUCCCAGCUAUUCUUGUACUUAUGUGUGUGUGAUCAUCAUCGUUAAGCUUUGCUAGCCCAAAAUCGGAGAUCUUGGCACUCAAGUCUUUGUCAAGCAGUAUAUUGCUAGCCUUGAUAUCUCUGUGCACAAUCCUUAUUGCAGACUCCUCAUGUAGAUAUGCUAAACCCCUUGCUAUUCCCAGGCAAAUCUUACGUCUCGUCGGCCAAUCCAAGCUC
RNAcentral lists this small RNA (493 nucleotides) under Oryza sativa Japonica Group (Japanese rice). RNAcentral describes it as "sRNA Os09g0345350". The record is from RNAcentral. Lineage: Eukaryota; Viridiplantae; Streptophyta; Magnoliopsida; Poales; Poaceae.